This 453-nucleotide ribosomal RNA is filed under the name uncultured bacterium. RNAcentral describes it as "bacterial SSU rRNA". It matches the Rfam family "Bacterial small subunit ribosomal RNA", at positions 10 to 507 of the family's 1533-position model. The record is from RNAcentral.
AGUUUGAUCAUGGCUCAGGACGAACGCUGGCGGUGUGCUUCACACAUGCAAGUCGAACGAGGUAGCAAUACCUAGUGGCGGACGGGUGAGUAACGCGUGGGAAUCUGCCUUUAGAUGGGGGAUAACGGGUCGAAAGACUCGCUAAUACCGCAUAUGACGAAAGUUGAAAGGAGUAAUCCGUCUAAAGAUGAGCCCGCGUCCGAUUAGCUAGUUGGUAGAGUAAAAGCCUACCAAGGCGACGAUCGGUAGCUGGUCUGAGAGGAUGAUCAGCCACAAUGGGACUGAGACACGGCCCAUACUCCUACGGGAGGCAGCAGUGGGAAUUUUACGCAAUGGGCGAAAGCCUGACGUAGCGACACCGCGUGAGCGAAGAAGCCCCUUGGGGUGUAAAGCUCUGUCAGCUGGAACGAAAAAAUGACGGUACCAGCAGAGGAAGCAUCGGCUAACUACGUG